This 429-nucleotide ribosomal RNA is filed under the name Chloroflexota bacterium. RNAcentral's name for it is "Chloroflexi bacterium partial 16S ribosomal RNA". It matches the Rfam family "Bacterial small subunit ribosomal RNA", at positions 355 to 776 of the family's 1533-position model. Lineage: Bacteria; Bacillati; Chloroflexota. The record is from RNAcentral.
UGGGGAAUAUUGCACAAUGGGCGCAAGCCUGAUGCAGCCAUGCCGCGUGUGUGAAGAAGGCCUUCGGGUUGUAAAGCACUUUCAGCGGGGAGGAAGGCGUUAAGGUUAAUAACCUUGGCGAUUGACGUUACCCGCAGAAGAAGCACCGGCUAACUCCGUGCCAGCAGCCGCGGUAAUACGGAGGGUGCAAGCGUUAAUCGGAAUUACUGGGCGUAAAGCGCACGCAGGCGGUCUGUCAAGUCGGAUGUGAAAUCCCCGGGCUCAACCUGGGAACUGCAUUGGAAACUGGCAGGCUAGAGUCUUGUAGAGGGGGGUAGAAUUCCAGGUGGAGCGGUGAAAUGCGUAGAGAUCUGGAGGAAUACCGGUGGCGAAGGCGGCCCCCUGGACAAAGACUGACGCUCAGGUGCGAAAGCGUGGGGAGCAAACAGG